AUUUAGCUGACGAGUUCCAGACAGGACGAAACGCGCGUCCUGAAU
Molecule: non-coding RNA, 45 nt
Filed under: Schistosoma mattheei
Lineage: Eukaryota; Metazoa; Platyhelminthes; Trematoda; Strigeidida; Schistosomatidae
Source: RNAcentral